This 206-nucleotide microRNA precursor is filed under the name Oryza brachyantha (malo sina). RNAcentral describes it as "MIR812 microRNA precursor family". It matches the Rfam family "MIR812 microRNA precursor family". The record is from Rfam by way of RNAcentral. Lineage: Eukaryota; Viridiplantae; Streptophyta; Magnoliopsida; Poales; Poaceae.
AAUAAGAUUAUUUUUUAGUUUUUAAAUAUAAUAUUUUAACUCUUCGUCUUAUUUAAAUUUUUUUGUGAUUAAUAUUUUUAUUGUUACAUGAUGGUAAACAUGAAUAAUACUUUAAGCAUGACUAACAUUUUUAAGUUUUUUUAUAAUUUUUUUAAAUAAGACGAAUGGUCAAACUUUAGACACGGUAAUUAAAAAAUAAAGUUAUU